Molecule: ribosomal RNA, 253 nt
Filed under: uncultured bacterium
Lineage: Bacteria
Description: partial 16S ribosomal RNA
Rfam family: Bacterial small subunit ribosomal RNA
Source: RNAcentral
UACGUAGGCAGCAAGCGUUGUUCGGAAUUACUGGGCGUAAAGAGUGUGUAGGCGGUGUUCCAAGUCUGUCGUGAAAUCUCCCGGCUUAACUGGGAGGGUGCGGCGGAAACUGGAAUGCUUGAGUAUGGGAGAGGAAAGCGGAAUUCCUGGUGUAGCGGUGAAAUGCGUAGAUAUCAGGAGGAACACCUGUGGUGUAGACAGCUUUCUGGACCAUCACUGACGCUGAGACACGAAAGCGUGGGUAGCAAACAGG